Molecule: long non-coding RNA, 1018 nt
Organism: Mustela lutreola (European mink)
Lineage: Eukaryota; Metazoa; Chordata; Mammalia; Carnivora; Mustelidae
Exons: 4
Source: RefSeq, a predicted model, not a curated record
AAUGGCAGCUCCGAGCUUCCCGCACCGCUGCAUGGGCGCGUGGGCGGAAGGCGCCUUCACCAAUGUGUACGAGUCCAUAGAGGAUAGGUUCCUGCUGCUGGAGGCGCUGGAGGCAGCAGCGGCUGAACUGACAGGAUUCGAGGAGGACGAGGGUCCCCGUGGGAGAGGGCUUCAGCGUUCUGGAGAGGCAGCGGCAAAGGAGAGCCCGGGAAAGAAGGCAUGCAGUCCACAGGAGAGGAGGCGGUGUCCGCAGACUUGGCGAACAUGGAUACCAGAACGCUGAGUGGAAAUAUGCCUUGAAGUAGGAUCAGGGUCUGGAGUGGUAUCUGCAUUCCUAGCCUCUAUGAUAGGUCCUCAAGCUUUGUACAUGUGCUCUGAUAUCAACCCUGAAGCAUCAGCUUGCACUCUGGAGACAGCACACUGUAACAAAGUCCACAUUCAGCCAGUAAUUACAGACUUGGAAACUUCUACUGUCUUGGAAGGAUCAGUCAUCUUUUGGUCAGAAGUGACAGAGAAUCCAGUUUAAACUGGCUUAAGUAAAGUGUGUGGCUUCAGGCACAGCUGGCUCCAGGAACUCAAGUGAUAUGACAGGCAUCUUCUUAACUCUGAACUUCUCUGUUGGCGCUAUUUCUAGGUAGUCUUUUUCUUCUUGGUAAGAAGAAAAUUUGAGAAUAUGGAAAGUUUAAAGAAGAAACUUUCUCAGUUCUCAGCAAACACCUCCCUUAUCCUUCCAUGGAAAGAAACUCUUUCUAUUUAGUUAGUCUUACAAGCCCCAGAAAGAGUAUUGCUUGGAUCAUCUUGGAUCAUAUGCCAUCUCAAAAUGUCUCACUGUGGCCAAAGGGGAUUGAAAUAUGCAGAUGACUAGUUUAGGCCUGAGUCAUAGUCCCACCCCAACAGCUGCAUUGGGAUAAGCCCUACCCAAGCUAAAUGGAUUGAGAAUGUGAGGAUAGAGAAUUUACCCAUUAGAGAUCAAGGAGAUGAAAUCAGAAGAAAGAGGAGAAUGAGGCCUGGAGAGAUU